UCUUUAAAACUUAAUAUAAUUUGUGUGACUUUUGUAAAAUUACUUAUGAGAUUUAAAAUAAUUUUAAAAUAAUUAAAAUAAUUUUAAUUCUCUGUUUUAAAAUAAUUUUGUUUAAAUGUACGUAUGCAAAUUAAAGUUGGAAUUAAGUUAUCAUUUCUCUGCGAACUAUUGCGAGAUUAUACACACAUGUUGCGAUAAGUUCUUAUCAAAGAUACGCUUCACCUUUGACAUGCCAUCCUGUAAAUAUGACGUAAUAUCUGUAAUGGAAAUUAUCAAAAGCCACAGUUUGAAUUCGUGGAAUCUUCGGUGAAAAACUAUUAAUCAGUCCUUGCGCAGCAUUAUUAACGACAGCGUCUUUAUAAAUUCUGUCUUCUCUCUCAGAGGACAUUUCACGCAUCGUACUGAGUCGUUUUAGCAAGAAGAAAUUUUCGAGACGGUUUGCACUCUGCGGCAAAAAUAAAAAAUGAAAGUUUACAUUGCGUUAUUUAUGAUUUUCGUGACGAUGAUGACCGUGUCAUCAACGCCACUGAAACAAAAUCAAAGUUCCACUACCGUAUCACCGGCAAUUUCUCCACUCAAUAUCAUAACAGUGCCGGAAUUUCCGUGUCCAGCUGGCCAGCAACGCGAUGCAAAUGGAAAAUGUCGAUUGUUUUUGCAAAAACUGAAGAAGUAAAUUUCAACGAGCACCAAAUAAGAUCUCGACGACACGAGUAGUGCCGUUCUACAAACGUAACAGUGAAAUAUCGUAACAACGCACGACGAGAGAUUGGCCCGGCUAUUUGUCCACUUUGAAUUAUCAAGGAAACUACUUCGCCAGCAAUGCAAUUAUCAAUGUAUAUUUUGUUCCUGUACUACCGCCAUUGAUUACGCGAUAACUUAUGGUCUUAAUACGAGUCCCGGUUCGUCGUGACGAAAUAUCUUUUUAACUAUAUCCAUAUGUCUCUUUUAUGUUGAUUUUUACGUAUAAAAUGAAAACCAUGUAUGUACGUCAACAAAAUCUAGCAAUAAAAAUAGAAAAAAAACCCG
Solenopsis invicta (red fire ant) is the source of this 1026-nucleotide long non-coding RNA. RefSeq lists it as uncharacterized. Lineage: Eukaryota; Metazoa; Arthropoda; Insecta; Hymenoptera; Formicidae. The record is from RefSeq and is a predicted model, not a curated record. The transcript has 2 exons.